Molecule: ribosomal RNA, 772 nt
Filed under: uncultured Glomus
Lineage: Eukaryota; Fungi; Glomeromycota; Glomeromycetes; Glomerales; Glomeraceae
Description: SSU rRNA
Rfam family: Eukaryotic small subunit ribosomal RNA
Source: RNAcentral
GGAUAGAGGCCUACUAUGGUUUUAACGGGUAACGGGGAAUUAGGGUUCGAUUCCGGAGAGGGAGCCUGAGAAACGGCUACCACAUCCAAGGAAGGCAGCAGGCGCGCAAAUUACCCAAUCCCGACACGGGGAGGUAGUGACAAUAAAUAACAAUACGGGGCUCAUUUGGGUCUCGUAAUUGGAAUGAGUACAAUUUAAAUCUCUUAACGAGGAACAAUUGGAGGGCAAGUCUGGUGCCAGCAGCCGCGGUAAUUCCAGCUCCAAUAGCGUAUAUUAAAGUUGUUGCAGUUAAAAAGCUCGUAGUUGAAUUUCGGGAUUGACGUGAUGGUCAUGCCUUAAGGGGUAUGAACUGUUACUGUUGAUUUCUCACCUUCUGGAGAAACUUGAUGUCCUUUAUUGGGUGUCUUGCGGAUCCAGGACCUUUACCUUGAAAAAAUUAGAGUGUUUAAAGCAGGCAUUAUUGCUCGAAUACAUUAGCAUGGAAUAAUAGAAUAGGACGGCAUGGUUCUAUUUUGUUGGUUUCUAGGAUCACCGUAAUGAUUAAUAGGGAUAGUUGGGGGCAUUAGUAUUCAAUUGUCAGAGGUGAAAUUCUUGGAUUUAUUGAAGACUAACUACUGCGAAAGCAUUUGCCAAGGAUGUUUUCGUUAAUCAAGAACGAAAGUUAGGGGAUCGAAGACGAUCAGAUACCGUCGUAGUCUUAACCAUAAACUAUGCCGACUAGGAAUCAGACGAUGUUAAUUUUUUAAUGACUCGUUUGGCACCUUACGGGAAA